Molecule: ribosomal RNA, 497 nt
Filed under: uncultured bacterium
Lineage: Bacteria
Description: partial 16S ribosomal RNA
Rfam family: Bacterial small subunit ribosomal RNA
Source: RNAcentral
GAUGAACGCUGGCGGCGUGCCUAAUACAUGCAAGUCGAGCGAACAGACGAGGAGCUUGCUCCUCUGACGUUAGCGGCGGACGGGUGAGUAACACGUGGAUAACCUACCUAUAAGACUGGGAUAACUUCGGGAAACCGGAGCUAAUACCGGAUAAUAUAUUGAACCGCAUGGUUCAAUAGUGAAAGACGGUUUUGCUGUCACUUAUAGAUGGAUCCGCGCCGCAUUAGCUAGUUGGUAAGGUAACGGCUUAUCAAGGCAACGAUGCGUAGCCGACCUGAGAGGGUGGUCGGCGGCGCGGGAGGUGAGGCGGGGUCGAGGGGCCUGCGGGAGGCAGCAGUAGGGAAUGGGCGGCAAUGGGCGAAAGCGUGACGGAGCAAGGCCGCGUGAGUGAUGAAGGUCUUCGGAUCGUAAAGCUCUGUUAUGAGGGAAGAACAAAUGUGUAAGUAACUAUGCACGUAUUGACGGUACCUAAUCAGAAAGCCACGGCUAACUACGUG